This is a non-coding RNA of Bacillus cereus, 116 nucleotides long. The record is from Rfam. NCBI's taxonomy places the organism in Bacteria, Bacillati, Bacillota, Bacilli, Caryophanales, Bacillaceae.
GUGAUAAACUAGGGGUGCCCAAUGUAUGCGUGGGCUGAGAGAGAAGUACGCAAACUUCUUAACCCUUUGGACCUGAUCUGGCUCGUACCAGCGUAGGGAAGUUAAUGGCUUUACAU